RNAcentral lists this ribosomal RNA (758 nucleotides) under uncultured bacterium. RNAcentral describes it as "bacterial SSU rRNA". It matches the Rfam family "Bacterial small subunit ribosomal RNA", at positions 8 to 794 of the family's 1533-position model. The record is from RNAcentral.
AGAGUUUGAUCCUGGCUCAGGAUGAACGCUGGCGGCGUGCCUCACACAUGCAAGUCGAGCGAUUCUCUUCGGAGAAGAGCGGCGGACGGGUGAGUAACGCGUGGGUAACCUGCCCUGUACACACGGAUAACAUACCGAAAGGUAUGCUAAUACGAGAUAAUAUGCUUUUAUCGCAUGGUAGAAGUAUCAAAGCUUUUGCGGUACAGGAUGGACCCGCGUCUGAUUAGCUAGUUGGUAAGGUAACGGCUUACCAAGGCGACGAUCAGUAGCCGACCUGAGAGGGUGAUCGGCCACAUUGGAACUGAGACACGGUCCAAACUCCUACGGGAGGCAGCAGUGGGGAAUAUUGCACAAUGGGCGAAAGCCUGAUGCAGCAACGCCGCGUGAGCGAUGAAGGCCUUCGGGUCGUAAAGCUCUGUCCUCAAGGAAGAUAAUGACGGUACUUGAGGAGGAAGCCCCGGCUAACUACGUGCCAGCAGCCGCGGUAAUACGUAGGGGGCUAGCGUUAUCCGGAAUUACUGGGCGUAAAGGGUGCGUAGGUGGUUUCUUAAGUCAGAGGUGAAAGGCUACGGCUCAACCGUAGUAAGCCUUUGAAACUGGGAAACUUGAGUGCAGGAGAGGAGAGUGGAAUUCCUAGUGUAGCGGUGAAAUGCGUAGAUAUUAGGAGGAACACCAGUUGCGAAGGCGGCUCUCUGGACUGUAACUGACACUGAGGCACGAAAGCGUGGGGAGCAAACAGGAUUAGAUACCCUGGUAGU